This is a long non-coding RNA of Hyaena hyaena (striped hyena), 484 nucleotides long. RefSeq lists it as uncharacterized. The record is from RefSeq and is a predicted model, not a curated record. The transcript has 4 exons. Lineage: Eukaryota; Metazoa; Chordata; Mammalia; Carnivora; Hyaenidae.
ACAGGAGACAUUUAUUAAAUGUUCAUGCAAGUGCGGAACUUUUAGGCAGGCAGGGAAGCAGCAAACAGUAAAGAACACAGCAAGUUCUUUUUCUUGACUUUGAAGAUGAUACACAUUUUUGUUCCUCCUCUGAGCAACUGAUUUGGGAGAAGGUGAGGCUUGUUAGCAACGGGGAUCCUCAGCCCCUUUCCAGAGCCAGUGAAUCCGAAUCCCCCAGGACUUGAUUUCCUACAAAGAAUGGAACUUGGCUUGUCUUAUUGAAACCAAUGUCUCAUAGAAGCAUCCAUUUACAUGUGACCACUCAGCUCCAUUUGUCUCUGAUCAUACCAUGUAGCCCUUAGCUGAUGUGAGCCACGGCACUCCAGCAUUUGAGAAAACUGCUGUUGCAUCAGCCUAGAUCCCUGGAUGACUACAAUGAGCAGAGCCCCCCAUCAAACCAUGAUGGUCAUGCGGAACGACUGAAAAAUAAACUUUUUGCUUUAAG